Molecule: long non-coding RNA, 1559 nt
Organism: Triticum urartu
Lineage: Eukaryota; Viridiplantae; Streptophyta; Magnoliopsida; Poales; Poaceae
Source: RefSeq, a predicted model, not a curated record
CCCGUCAGCGACAAAAAAAAAAACAAAAAAAAAAAAGCCCUACCCCGACCCCCAGCUUUUCCAUUGCGCGCAGCCCCGAGACAGCGAGACCCACCUUGCGCGCCGGCGCAGCCACCCGCGCCGCCGAGCCCCUCACACCACCCAACCACCACCUAACUCUGGCCACCAACCGCCGCCGUCGCUGCCGCGUGAGAUCGCGCCUCUGCGCGAGAUACGAUCGCCACUGGGUGACAUCUUCUCGCCGCCGCGCGAGACCCGUCCGCCGCCGCUCCACCAUCACGCUCCGCAGGACCGGCCAUCCCCUCCCCUGCCGCUCAAUUCAACCUCGCCGGCCAACGCGGUCCAUCGCGUCGCCUGGAUUCCAAUCUAACCCGCCAUACGACAUGGCCAAGUUCCUCCCCCCGCCAUGGCUACUACCAGGACCACCACCUGCCUGACCUGUGUGGCAUGUGGCUGCCCAGCACAUCGACGCCCCCAAGGUGCAAAAAAGUUGGAUGUAGUGAUAUGUUGGUUCAGUUUCACAGGUCCUUCAACAUUGAAAAAAAGAGUUUUCUUAUCCAAAAAUGCAUCAGCACCGUGAAGUGCUAAUUCUUCUUGUGUGCUUCUAUAGAGCCUUGUGUUUCAGUCACCACCAUGAUGAACCAACUCGUCCUAUUUUGCAGAAGCAUGUCGCAUGAUAGUUUUUAGGCGGAUGCAGUUCAGAGGUAAUGGGGAAUCAAGGUUCAGAGAGAUUUUUUUAGCACAUUUAGAGAGCUUUUUCAGUGCACUGUAGCCAAAUCCGUUCUGAAGGCCAAACUAUUCAUGUUUGGUUUUGAUUUUAUUUUACAAACAAAGUUGCUAGCGGUAGUAGAUCUUGGGAUUUGGUCACACACGGAAGAAGACAAAAAGAAAAAUAGUGAGUUGGAGAUUGCAUGUUCGUUGCUCAGAAGGAUAAGAUCCUUUUGGUUUUAGCUAAAGAACACCUAGUGGGGUAAAAAACAUUGCUUUUUCCAAACUCCACCGGUCAACUUUUUGCUCUGUUUAAUGGUUUGCUUCACAGACUAAAUUCUUGAUUGUUUCUUUAUGUAUGAGCAUCAGACUUGAUUUAAAUGCGAGGCAAUUCACUAACAGUAAUUUUGUCAAUUCAAUAAUAAAUGUACAAGUUGACCUCCUAGCGAUAUACAUGCCUAGGAAUUUUGUUCUCUGUUUUGUUUAUUGGCGCAUGCAAGAUGUUUUUCAUGUUAUGAACAUAUUGGUUUGCGAGAAGUUCAUGUACGACUACCAAAUGAGUUCCAAAAUCAAUCACCACGAAGAGAAGAGGUGAGCAGCGCACAGGCUGUUCAACUUCGCUGCCUCAGGACGUGCAACGCCGCCCAUGUGAGCAAAGGGGGACUAGUGUCUUCUUAACUGUUUAAUCUGCCCUUGUACGGUGCAUUUUGUCUCAGUUUUUAUGUGAAUUUGUUUGCUGCACUUACAUUGUCUUCAUAGGGUACAAAAGUUUGGCUACAAACUGUUCUUCAUUGUCUGUAAGAGCCGUUGUUGUACUACUACCAUGAGAGAAUGGAGCUUUUUCAGACUUC